This 409-nucleotide ribosomal RNA is filed under the name Actinomycetes bacterium. RNAcentral's name for it is "Actinobacteria bacterium partial 16S ribosomal RNA". It matches the Rfam family "Bacterial small subunit ribosomal RNA", at positions 355 to 776 of the family's 1533-position model. Lineage: Bacteria; Bacillati; Actinomycetota; Actinomycetes. The record is from RNAcentral.
UGGGGAAUAUUGCACAAUGGGCGGAAGCCUGAUGCAGCGACGCCGCGUGGGGGAUGAAGGCCUUCGGGUUGUAAACUCCUUUCGACAGGGACGAAGCUUUUGUGACGGUACCUGUAUAAGAAGCACCGGCUAACUACGUGCCAGCAGCCGCGGUAAUACGUAGGGUGCGAGCGUUGUCCGGAAUUACUGGGCGUAAAGAGCUCGUAGGUGGUUUGUCGCGUCGUCUGUGAAAUUCCGGGGCUUAACUCCGGGCGUGCAGGCGAUACGGGCUGACUUGAGUGCUGUAGUGGAGACUGGAAUUCCUGGUGUAGCGGUGAAAUGCGCAGAUAUCAGGAGGAACACCGAUGGCGAAGGCAGGUCUCUGGGCAGUAACUGACGCUGAGGAGCGAAAGCAUGGGUAGCGAACAGG